GUGCGCAGGGGAAGCCUGGUUACCCCACCCUAAUCUUAUUAUGGAAAUAGACUUUCUAGUUGAUCAACACCAUCUUGUCUGCUCCUUACAGUACACGUGGCUGACAAAGGGAAGGGAAGAUGGAGCCUCCAAUUUGAACAUGUGUACUCCGAAGUUCCUCCCUGCGUUCACUCGUGCAAGCUCCCAGCUUGCUUGUCUGUGUCUGCAGCUCGGCUUUACAGAAUGCUCUUUGUUAGAAAAUGAUUUGGGGCUGCUUUUCAUGAAAAAGAAAAGCCUUACUGAGGAUUCCCAUACUCCUACUAUCUGCCUAAGUGAUUUCUUCUAAACUCCUGUAUCAGUGAAGUGCAAAGCUAGUGAAAGCCUUUUGUUCUGCAGUGACUUCACUUGAGGGCCACUAAUUCAUUCUGCAACAGAGCUGGGAAAUCUUGGCAUUCUUACCACUUGCAGUAUUUCUGGAAGCCAGCCUGGAUCUGGAGUAGAUCCUGAGAGACCACCGCAGAGUCCUCAAGCCU
RNAcentral lists this long non-coding RNA (512 nucleotides) under Homo sapiens (human). Its description in RNAcentral is "HSALNT0367549". Lineage: Eukaryota; Metazoa; Chordata; Mammalia; Primates; Hominidae. The record is from RNAcentral.